GAAAGCUGGAUGCGGGAAAACUGCACGUCCAGUUUGUGCGGCGGACGGAGGCCAGCGCAAGAGCAAUCGAGCGCGCC
This 77-nucleotide unclassified non-coding RNA is filed under the name Bradyrhizobium sp. Rc2d. Lineage: Bacteria; Pseudomonadati; Pseudomonadota; Alphaproteobacteria; Hyphomicrobiales; Nitrobacteraceae. The record is from RNAcentral.